GAAAGAAAGAAAAGAAGAAAGAAAGAAAGAAAGGAAGGAAGGAAGAAAGGAAGGAAGAAAAGUGCCCCCCUUAUAGUCAUAUAACCAAAAACAAGUCCAGAUUUAAAUUCUCUACUUGAUGUUCCCUGUGUCUUCCAUCUGUAUAAGAAUCCUAAGGCUGGAAGGAAUGCCAGCUAUCAAGUAGACUAAUAUGGUUUGAUCAAGCAAGACCCCCGGAAGCAGUGACCCAACUGAUCCUACAUUCAAAACAGCUGGGACGAUACAGCCUUACAGACUACAAAAACAAGGACUUGAUUUAGUUUGUUGAGACAAGGUCCCAUGUGUUCCAGUCUGGCUCUGAACUUGCUACUUGACUGAGGCUGGCACUGAACUCCUGAUCUUCCUAAUCCAGUCUUUCAGGUAAUGAUGCUGCCACUCCCUUCUGAGGAACUCAGAAACAAUGGAAUUAUUGUGGCUCUUUCCUACUACCACCAUGCCUCAGACAGGGUUUCUCUGUGUAAUCCUGGCUGUCCUGGAACUCACUCUGUAGAUGAGGCUGGUCAUGAACUCAAAGAAAUCCACCUGUCUCUGUCAUCUGAGUGCUGGGAUUAAAGAAAGUCAUACACCACCACUGUCCAUUGUAUUUUUAUAAUCAGUGAUGCUGAACUAGUCCCAUGUGACUUUAAGACUUUGUAUUUCUUCAUUUUUGCAAAUUUAUCUACUCUAGACUAAGUGUUUUAUCAUCUACUUAUAUACUCUAUGGUUUGGAAUUUUACCUUUUCCUGCAAUAUUUGUAAACAUAAAAAUUUAAAAACUCAUUAAAUCUGUAACUUGUUCUUAUAAUAUUGACUAAAUUAUUUGUAGUAGUAACGUUAAAUUAUUAUCAAUGUCCCAAAGAAAUGACAUAUACAACCUCAAGGUUUUACACUAUAGCAUUUAAUCUAACACAAACAUUUUGGUAAAAAACAUCUACAUUAAAUAUCUUUUCCAAAUAGUUGACAUUUAUUGAAUAAUUUAUCUUCUCA
This 1004-nucleotide long non-coding RNA is filed under the name Cricetulus griseus (Chinese hamster). Its description in RNAcentral is "lncRNA (ENSCGRG00015041575.1)". The record is from RNAcentral. Lineage: Eukaryota; Metazoa; Chordata; Mammalia; Rodentia; Cricetidae.